AACCACCUCCCACCACAACCCAAUCCCCAUCCUCGCACUUCUUCCACCCAACCCAAUAGUCCAUGGAUUAAGAAAAUAAAAAUUAAGAAAGCAAGCUGAUUUAGGGACUCAACAGGUUUCUGAAGUGUGCUGGUUAUUUCUUUUGGGUUUGUUGAUAAUCAUUUGUAUAGAAACCACAAAGGGAAUAAUCAAUUUUUGUUAUUUCCAGUAAUUUCUUUAUGUGGUUCUUUUUUUAGAUUAAGCAGGUGGCCAACCAAAACCCUUGGGCGAUUGGGUUGGGUGGUUGGCAGUGCAAGGUAGGAAGAUUUGGGUGGUCGUGGGAGUUGGUUUCCGG
Molecule: long non-coding RNA, 334 nt
Filed under: Prunus persica (peach)
Lineage: Eukaryota; Viridiplantae; Streptophyta; Magnoliopsida; Rosales; Rosaceae
Description: long non-coding RNA (PPER_LNC007147)
Source: RNAcentral